AUUGAACGCUGGCGGCAUGCCUUACACAUGCAAGUCGAACGGCAGCACGGGAGCAAUCCUGGUGGCGAGUGGCGAACGGGUGAGUAAUAUAUCGGAACGUGCCCAGUCGUGGGGGAUAACGUAGCGAAGCUACGCUAAUACCGCAUACGAUCUAUGGAUGAAAGCGGGGGAUCGCAAGACCUCGCGCGAUUGGAGCGGCCGGAUAUCAGAUUAGGUAGUUGGUGAGGUAAAGGCUCGCCAAGCCGACGAUCUGUAGCUGGUCUGAGAGGACGACCAGCCACACUGGACUGAGACACGGCCCA
RNAcentral lists this ribosomal RNA (302 nucleotides) under uncultured bacterium. RNAcentral's name for it is "bacterial SSU rRNA". It matches the Rfam family "Bacterial small subunit ribosomal RNA", at positions 30 to 333 of the family's 1533-position model. The record is from RNAcentral.